This 348-nucleotide ribosomal RNA is filed under the name Triticum aestivum (bread wheat). RNAcentral's name for it is "partial small subunit ribosomal RNA". The record is from RNAcentral. Lineage: Eukaryota; Viridiplantae; Streptophyta; Magnoliopsida; Poales; Poaceae.
AUGCAAUCAACAGCAGAUGACUUGUCCCCAUCAUAUUCUGAAGGCGGAUUUCAAAGGGGACAAGGUGAUGUGCCUCAACACCAAACCGAAAAGGGAAUUGGAAGCAGGACUGGAGGCAGUAUCAGUCAUGGGAAUGAUGAUGAGGAUGACUACUACGGCAAUGAGGGAUAUGAUAACUAUGGCGAGGGUGGUCUGUAUGGUGAUGAGCAGUAUGAUAACUACGCGAUGCGGAAUAUAAAGACUAUCGAGAUGAGGGAUAUAAUGACUAUGGCGAUGGUGAUGAUGAUUGGCUAUAGAAGCCUAAUGAUCUUCAAGUCAUGCCAAAAUGAAGUUAUGUUAGAUAUUUGA